AACGAACGCUGGCGGCAUGCCUAACACAUGCAAGUCGAACGAGACCUUCGGGUCUAGUGGCGAACGGGUGAGUAACGCGUGGGAACCUGCCCUUAGGUUCGGAAUAACUCCCCGAAAGGGGUGCUAAUACCGGAUAAUGUCUUCGGACCAAAGAUUUAUCGCCUUUGGAUGGGCCCGCGUUGGAUUAGCUAGUUGGUAGGGUAAAAGCCUACCAAGGCGACGAUCCAUAGCUGGUCUGAGAGGAUGAUCAGCCACACUGGGACUGAGACACGGCCCAGACUCCUACGGGAGGCAGCAGUGGGGAAUAUUGGACAAUGGGCGAAAGCCUGAUCCAGCAAUGCCGCGUGAGUGAUGAAGGCCUUAGGGUUGUAAAGCUCUUUUACCCGGGAUGAUAAUGACAGUACCGGGAGAAUAAGCUCCGGCUAACUCCGUG
This 433-nucleotide ribosomal RNA is filed under the name uncultured bacterium. RNAcentral describes it as "partial 16S ribosomal RNA". It matches the Rfam family "Bacterial small subunit ribosomal RNA", at positions 29 to 507 of the family's 1533-position model. The record is from RNAcentral.